GGCUCGUCUGAAGGGAGUUAUUUCAAUUAAUUGUUCACAGUCAGUUACAGAUAGAAUUUCUUGUUCUACUUCACAACUUACUAUUGCAGUUGACUAGUCUUUU
This 103-nucleotide Y RNA is filed under the name Cebus imitator (Panamanian white-faced capuchin). Its description in RNAcentral is "Y RNA (ENSCCAG00000000929.1)". It matches the Rfam family "Y RNA". From Rfam's summary of the family: Y RNAs are components of the Ro ribonucleoprotein particle (Ro RNP), in association with Ro60 and La proteins. The record is from Rfam by way of RNAcentral. Lineage: Eukaryota; Metazoa; Chordata; Mammalia; Primates; Cebidae.